AUGCAAGUCGAACGGCAGCACGGGAGCAAUCCUGGUGGCGAGUGGCGAACGGGUGAGUAAUAUAUCGGAACGUGCCCGGUCGUGGGGGAUAACGUAGCGAAAGCUACGCUAAUACCGCAUACGAUCUACGGAUGAAAGCGGGGGAUCGCAAGACCUCGCGCGAUUGGAGCGGCCGAUAUCAGAUUAGGUAGUUGGUGAGGUAAAGGCUCACCAAGCCGACGAUCUGUAGCUGGUCUGAGAGGACGACCAGCCACACUGGGACUGAGACACGGUCCAGACUCCUACGGGAGGCAGCAGUGGGGAAUAUUGGACAAUGGGCGCAAGCCUGAUCCAGCAAUGCCGCGUGCAGGAUGAAGGCCUUCGGGUUGUAAACUGCUUUUGUACGGAACGAAACGGUGAGCUCUAAUACAGUUUGCUAAUGACGGUACCGUAAGAAUAAGCACCGGCUAACUCCGUG
RNAcentral lists this ribosomal RNA (457 nucleotides) under uncultured bacterium. RNAcentral's name for it is "bacterial SSU rRNA". It matches the Rfam family "Bacterial small subunit ribosomal RNA", at positions 55 to 507 of the family's 1533-position model. The record is from RNAcentral.